Molecule: ribosomal RNA, 356 nt
Filed under: uncultured Latescibacterota bacterium
Lineage: Bacteria; Pseudomonadati; Candidatus Latescibacterota
Description: bacterial SSU rRNA
Rfam family: Bacterial small subunit ribosomal RNA
Source: RNAcentral
ACAAGGAGACAGGUGGUGGCAUGGUUGUCGUCAGCUCGUGUCGUGAGAUGUUGGUUAAGUCCCGCAACGAGCGCAACCCUUAUCCCCAGUUGCCAUCAGGUAAAGCUGGGAACUCUGGGGAGACUGCCGGUGAUAAACCGGAGGAAGCGGGGAUGACGUCAAGUCCUCAUGGCCCUUACAUCCCGGGCUACACACGUGCUACAAUGGCAGGUACAGAGGGCUGCAAAGCCGCGAGGUAGAGCGAAUCCCAGAAAACCUGUCUCAGUCCGGAUUGAAGUCUGCAACUCGACUUCAUGAAGGCGGAAUCGCUAGUAACCGCGAAUCAGCAGGUCGCGGUGAAUACGUUCCCGGGCCUU